Molecule: ribosomal RNA, 157 nt
Filed under: Chrysomphalina sp. UBC F16246
Lineage: Eukaryota; Fungi; Basidiomycota; Agaricomycetes; Agaricales; Hygrophoraceae
Description: 5.8S ribosomal RNA
Rfam family: 5.8S ribosomal RNA
About the family: 5.8S ribosomal RNA (5.8S rRNA) is a component of the large subunit of the eukaryotic ribosome. It is transcribed by RNA polymerase I as part of the 45S precursor that also contains 18S and 28S rRNA.
Source: RNAcentral
CAACUUUUAACAACGGAUCUCUUGGCUCUCGCAUCGAUGAAGAACGCAGCGAAAUGCGAUAAGUAAUGUGAAUUGCAGAAUUCAGUGAAUCAUCGAAUCUUUGAACGCACCUUGCGCUCCUUGGUAUUCCGAGGAGCAUGCCUGUUUGAGUGUCAUA